AGUCGAACGGAAGUGUUCAGUCGGAAGUUUUCGGAUGGAAGAGUGGACAGUUUAGUGGCGAACGGGUGAGUAACGCGUGAGUAACCUGCCUUUCAGAGGGGGACAACAGUUGGAAACGACUGCUAAUACCGCAUAAGCCCACGGUGUCACAUGGCACAGUGAGAAAAGGAGAAAUCCGCUGAAAGAUGGACUCGCGUCUGAUUAGAUAGUUGGUGGGGUAACGGCCUACCAAGUCGACGAUCAGUAGCCGGACUGAGAGGUUGAACGGCCACAUUGGGACUGAGAGACGGCCCAGACUCCUACGGGAGGCAGCAGUGGGGAAUAUUGCACAAUGGGGGGAACCCUGAUGCAGCGACGCCGCGUGAAGGAAGAAGGUAUUCGUAUUGUAAACUUCUGUCGCAGAUGACGAAAAGAUGACGGUAAUCUGUAAGAAAGCACCGGCUAACUACGUGCCAGCAGCCGCGGUAAAACGUAGGGUGCUAGCGUUGUCCGGAAUUACUGGGUGUAAAGGGAGCGCAGGUGGCAGUGCAAGUUGGAUGUAAAAUCUACGGGCUCAACCCGUAUAAGCAUUCAAAACUGUGCAGCUUGAGUGAAGUAGAGGUAGGUGGAAUUUCCGGUGUAGCGGUGGAAUGCGUAGAUAUCGGAAGGAACAUCAGUGGCGAAGGCGACCUACUGGGCUUUAACUGACGCUGAGGCUCGAAAGCAUGGGUAGCAAACAGGAUUAGAUACCCUGGUAGUCCAUGCUGUAAACGAUGAUUACUAGGUGUGGGGGCGAAAGUUUCCGUGCCGGAGUUAACACAAUAAGUAAUCCACCUGGGGAGUACGACCGC
RNAcentral lists this ribosomal RNA (830 nucleotides) under uncultured bacterium. RNAcentral's name for it is "bacterial SSU rRNA". It matches the Rfam family "Bacterial small subunit ribosomal RNA", at positions 60 to 889 of the family's 1533-position model. The record is from RNAcentral.